CAGCUUGCUGGGUGGAUCAGUGGCGAACGGGUGAGUAACACGUGAGCAACCUGCCCUCCACUUUGGGAUAAGCCUUGGAAACGAGGUCUAAUACCGAAUAUGAGCAUGCGAUGCAUGUCGUGUGUUGGAAAGUUUUUCGGUGGGGGAUGGGCUCGCGGCCUAUCAGCUUGUUGGUGGGGUAAUGGCCUACCAAGGCGUCGACGGGUAGCCGGCCUGAGAGGGCGACCGGCCACACUGGGACUGAGACACGGCCCAGACUCCUACGGGAGGCAGCAGUGGGGAAUAUUGCACAAUGGGCGAAAGCCUGAUGCAGCGACGCCGCGUGAGGGAUGACGGCCUUCGGGUUGUAAACCUCUUUCAGCAGGGAAGAAGGCUUCGGUUGACGGUACCUGCAGAAGAAGCGCCGGCUAACUACGUGCCAGCAGCCGCGGUAAUACGUAGGGCGCAAGCGUUGUCCGGAAUUAUUGGGCGUAAAGAGCUCGUAGGCGGUCUGUCGCGUCUGGUGUGAAAACCCGAGGCUCAACCUCGGGCUUGCAUCGGGUACGGGCAGACUAGAGUGCGGUAGGGGAGACUGGAAUUCCUGGUGUAGCGGUGGAAUGCGCAGAUAUCAGGAGGAACACCGAUGGCGAAGGCAGGUCUCUGGGCCGCAACUGACGCUGAGGAGCGAAAGCAUGGGGAGCGAACAGGAUUAGAUACCCUGGUAGUCCAUG
This 710-nucleotide ribosomal RNA is filed under the name Isoptericola sp. EGI 80313. Its description in RNAcentral is "bacterial SSU rRNA". It matches the Rfam family "Bacterial small subunit ribosomal RNA", at positions 76 to 799 of the family's 1533-position model. Lineage: Bacteria; Bacillati; Actinomycetota; Actinomycetes; Micrococcales; Promicromonosporaceae. The record is from RNAcentral.